UCCCCAAUGCCCCAGGUGCAGUAGAUCGCACUCACAUUUCCAUAUGAGCUCCUCAAGCACAUGAAUAAGUGUAUGUUAAUAGGAAAAAUUUCCAUUCAAUUAAUGUACAGCUCAUUUGCAAUGCUCGUAUGGCAAUUCUUAAUGCAGUUGCAGCGUGGGCAAUUGUCUAGAGGCAGGAGCAGGUAGAGAUGGAUGGCUUCUAGGUAAAUGACUGUAUGUAUUUAGCUGUAAUUCCAUUUUCGUAUUUAAACAUGAUUCUCUUUAUAAUUAUAGGUGACAGAGGUUAUCCUCUGAAGCCAUGGCUUCCUAGUGCACCCACAGACAGCUGAAGAAGCCCACUAUAACAUGUCACAUGCCUGCGCCGGGUCUGUUGUGGCGCACACAGUUGUGGAGUGCACAGCACAGCCCGGUCAGUUGUCUGGAUGCAUCGGGAGGGAGACUCCUAUGAUCCAGGCAAAGUGUGCCAAAUUAUUUUGGCUUGUUGUGUUCUGCACAAUAUCUGCUUGAGUUAUGGGGUUGGGUUGCCAGAAGAGGAAAUGUGCAUGGAUAUUCCAGAGGAUACCCCUCCACUACCCGCUGACUGGAAUGCACACGCUGUUAAUCCACAGGUUAUAUUCAACAGGAUGGCAACAUAUUGCACACUCCCCUGGCUAGGACAGCUGGAGGUGGAUGUUGAUGGCCUGGAAGAUUCCUCCUGAACAGGAGUGUUGCUUGACGCUGUCGCAGUUUUGGAGACAAAUCUACUAGGGGCUGUUUUCCUUUGUAAAUGUUCAUCAUUUACAGUAUUAAUAUUGAACAAACAAAAAACAUUUGGUUUCGAUAAUCUAUAACGCAUCACAUGCCAGCAAUCACUACUGAAGCUGGUGCAGACAAAAGAUCUGUAUCACCUUCUGCACAAACUCCAACAACAGCAGUCUCACCCAUGAUGGGAGCUAUACGGUUUUCCUCCGGUGUGAGGGGUACAGUGCCACUUCCACUUCCUGUGGCCUGCACAUUGCUUCUGUGUCGUGCAACACGCUUUUUGGACUGUAAUUUCAAGUCAGACCAUUUGUUUUACUUCUUUUAGGGACCUUUGCUUCCCCUCCGCCACCUUGUUCACAGUCUGGGCUUCACACUGCCAUGCUACAAAUUUUCCCCUCAUCCCCACAUGAACCUCUACCUCCGCCAACAGGACCUCAAUUUCAGACUCAGUAAAGUGUUUUUUUUUGUUUGUUUUUCGUCCUCUUUGUGCUUGUCAUUCUCAAGCAUAGAAAUUCGGAUAUUGGUGUAUGUGCUUUUAUAUGGUAAUGAUAUUAAUUAGGGGGCAUUUACAAGGCGGCGAUCUGACACCAGUCAGCUGUGCACAAUUUCAAGAUCAUUUGCGAUUUAUAAAUAUCACAUCUGGAAGAGAGGCAUAUGCAUGUGUUUUUAUGCGCACGUUUGUUUUCUCUGAAUCACACUUACACACUUUGAGAAAUGAUCUUAUAACAAAUUUAGGACAGUUUAUACGCAACAUUUUAUAAAUGAGGCUCCAGGUCUUCAAAGUUUUUGCCUUUGAAUGUGAAUGUGAAUGUGAGCUGUUGAUAUUUCCAUAGAAAUAAUGUCGAGCAAAGAUAAGCCCCAUACAUGUUUGGGGCCUCAUUUAUAACCAUUGCAUACGCAAAAAACCUGACCUGACAGAGGCGUACACCACUUCCUACGCAAAAGGUGGGAUUUAUA
Long non-coding RNA from Cyprinus carpio (common carp), 1698 nucleotides. Lineage: Eukaryota; Metazoa; Chordata; Actinopteri; Cypriniformes; Cyprinidae. The record is from Ensembl.